GCUAGCUAUUUGAAUGCACUUGAAGCCGGGCAAAGCCAUUCGUGAGAUUGUGAAGGAGGCAGGUUGAGCAGAUAAAGGAAAGAGUGAGGACAGUAAGAAAAUGAAUGCCACCGAGCAGAUAAAGGAAAGAGUGAGGACAAUAAGAAAAUGAAUGCCACCGAGCAGGUAAAGGAAAGAGUGAGGACAAUAAGAAAAUGAAUGACACCGAGCAGGACAAUGACCCAAAACACACAUCCAGGCUGUGUACAAGGAGAGUGAUACAAGGAGAGUGAUGGUGCUGCAUCAGAUGACCUGGCCUCCACAAUCACCCGACCUCAAACCAAUUGAGAUGGCUUGGGAUGAGUUGGACCUCAGAGUGAAGGAAAAGCAGCCAACAAGUGCUCAGUAUAUGUGGGAACUCCUUCAAGUCUGUUGGAAAAGCAUUCCAUGCGAAGCUGCUUGAGAGAAUGCCAAGAGUGUGCAAAGCUGUCAUAAAGGCAAAGGGGGGCUACUUUGAAGAAUAUAAAAUAUAAAAUGUAUUUUGAUUUGUUUAACACUUUUUUGGUUACCACAUGAUUCCAUUUGUGUUAUUUCAUCGUUUUGAUGUCAUCACUAUUAUUCUACAACGUAGAAAAUAGUACAAAUAAAGAAAAACCCUUGAAUGAG
This is a long non-coding RNA of Oncorhynchus keta (chum salmon), 645 nucleotides long. RefSeq lists it as uncharacterized. The record is from RefSeq and is a predicted model, not a curated record. Lineage: Eukaryota; Metazoa; Chordata; Actinopteri; Salmoniformes; Salmonidae. The transcript is spliced from 2 exons.